This 497-nucleotide ribosomal RNA is filed under the name uncultured bacterium. RNAcentral describes it as "partial 16S ribosomal RNA". It matches the Rfam family "Bacterial small subunit ribosomal RNA", at positions 28 to 507 of the family's 1533-position model. The record is from RNAcentral.
GAUGAACGCUGGCGGCGUGCCUAAUACAUGCAAGUCGAGCGAACAGACGAGGAGCUUGCUCCUCUGACGUUAGCGGCGGACGGGUGAGUAACACGUGGAUAACCUACCUAUAAGACUGGGAUAACUUCGGGAAACCGGAGCUAAUACCGGAUAAUAUAUUGAACCGCAUGGUUCAAUAGUGAAAGACGGUUUUGCUGUCACUUAUAGAUGGAUCCGCGCCGCAUUAGCUAGUUGGUAAGGUAACGGCUUACCAAGGCAACGAUGCGUAGCCGACCUGAGAGGGUGAUCGGCCACACUGGAACUGAGACACGGUCCAGACUCCUACGGGAGGCAGCAGUAGGGAAUCUUCCGCAAUGGGCGAAAGCCUGACGGAGCAACGCCGCGUGAGUGAUGAAGGUCUUCGGAUCGUAAAACUCUGUUAUUAGGGAAAAACAAAUGUGUAAGUAACUAUGCACGACUUGACGGUACCUAAUCAGAAAGCCACGGCUAACUACGUG